This 518-nucleotide ribosomal RNA is filed under the name Salmonella enterica. RNAcentral's name for it is "partial 23S ribosomal RNA". It matches the Rfam family "Bacterial large subunit ribosomal RNA", at positions 711 to 1226 of the family's 2925-position model. The record is from RNAcentral. Lineage: Bacteria; Pseudomonadati; Pseudomonadota; Gammaproteobacteria; Enterobacterales; Enterobacteriaceae. RNAcentral also lists the same sequence under 1 other name.
AGACCCGAAACCCGGUGAUCUAGCCAUGGGCAGGUUGAAGGUUGGGUAACACUAACUGGAGGACCGAACCGACUAAUGUUGAAAAAUUAGCGGAUGACCUGUGGCUGGGGGUGAAAGGCCAAUCAAACCGGGAGAUAGCUGGUUCUCCCCGAAAGCUAUUUAGGUAGCGCCUCGUGAAUUCAUCUCCGGGGGUAGAGCACUGUUUCGGCUAGGGGGCCAUCCCGGCUUACCAACCCGAUGCAAACUGCGAAUACCGGAGAAUGUUAUCACGGGAGACACACGGCGGGUGCUAACGUCCGUCGUGAAGAGGGAAACAACCCAGACCGCCAGCUAAGGUCCCAAAGUCAUGGUUAAGUGGGAAACGAUGUGGGAAGGCCCAGACAGCCAGGAUGUUGGCUUAGAAGCAGCCAUCAUUUAAAGAAAGCGUAAUAGCUCACUGGUCGAGUCGGCCUGCGCGGAAGAUGUAACGGGGCUAAACCAUGCACCGAAGCUGCGGCAGCGACGCUUAUGCGUUGUUG